CUACAGGGGUUUCUAAUCCUGUUUGCUCCCCACGCUUUCGCGCCUCAGCGUCAGUAAUGAGCCAGUAUGUCGCCUUCGCCACUGGUGUUCUUCCGAAUAUCUACGAAUUUCACCUCUACACUCGGAGUUCCACAUACCUCUCUCACACUCAAGACACCCAGUAUCAAAGGCAGUUCCAGAGUUGAGCUCUGGGAUUUCACCCCUGACUUAAAUGUCCGCCUACGCGCCCUUUACGCCCAGUAAUUCCGAGCAACGCUAGCCCCCUUCGUAUUACCGCGGCUGCUGGCAC
Molecule: ribosomal RNA, 289 nt
Filed under: uncultured Brevundimonas sp.
Lineage: Bacteria; Pseudomonadati; Pseudomonadota; Alphaproteobacteria; Caulobacterales; Caulobacteraceae
Description: partial 16S ribosomal RNA
Source: RNAcentral